CCUUUCUGUAACACACACGCUACAAGAUCACACCGGGAAAACGGAGAGAGGAAAGGAAAUAAUAGGCGAGAAAAAGAAAGAGAGGGAGAAGGAAGCACCGCAGCCUCCCGUUCGUCCGCUGCUUGUUGUUUUUUUAAAAGAGGGACAAAAAAAUCGUCUUUUCUUUUAACGGAGACUUGCGGACUAACAUGGGGGGAAGAGAGAGCUCCUGACGAGGAUUGACUUUCAGUGAACCUCUGCUCUGUGGUCAAAAAACAGGCAGGAAAAAAAGGCGACAGGGAAGACAUGUUGAGGGGCUUCUCGUCUUAAGGUUGCGGUAGGAUGUUCAUGUUGUGCUCUUAAAUCAGGCGGAGAAGAGAUUAAAACGAAGACAAAUGGAAAUUGGGCGGUAGACUACGUCCAGGAGCUAUUGUUUUGAUCGGUGUUUAUUUAAUUGGUUUGUUAUGAACUGAAAAAACCGUAGGCCUCUUAAGCAGCCCUACAGUAAAUAAAUACACGAUCAGCAGCAAGCGAGGGGGCUACAUAGCCGGUAAUUAGCCUGCUUACGUUUGAGGAGACAUCUUUUUAAAUGAGCCCCUGUGUUUUGUAGCUAAGCUAAAUACGCUUUUAUUAGCUGCAUAUUUUUAAUACCAAAAGCAGUGUUUUGAUUAAUUUUCCAACCGCACAGGCAAAACAUUUCUAGAUACAUUAACUCUUUAGGGGUUCGUGCAAAAGGCCCAAUUGAAACACAUUAAAUUCAGCGUUAUUAGUGUAUUUUAACUGCUUAUCAUCCACACGCUGCUUUGUAGCACAAGGCUGCCUCAAGAGUAGCUCAUCUCUACCGCCACUUCAGCUCAAAACAAGGGGACAAAAGAAGAUUUUUAAAUGUUAAUGUCGACCGACGUUGCAUCAAUCAUGCUGCCUGUGUCCCGGGGUCUCAUGGACCGGGAUAGAGAGCUGGACACCUUGGCCGGGGUGCAUCCGAACGCAGGCGGCGCUCCAGCGGUCGUGCGGGGCAUGAAGCGUGGAGACCCGGAGCCCGACGUUCAGACAGCGGCGGCCCUGGUGGACUCUACCGGGGCGGAGUGCAAGCGCCCCCGGAUCGACGGCUCGGGGGGCAUCGUCGAGGUUGGUCAGAACAACGACCCGCUGACCCUUAGUUACCAUGGCUACCCAACUCACAGUCAGGGCUCUCAGGAUAGUGCUGGCGGUCAGGAGGGACUUGUACCACCACCUUUCUCUGCGUUCCCUCCACCUCCACCGCCACCCCCCCAGAACGGCUUGGCCCUGGAUUACGGGGGCAGCUUGUACGCAGCGGGGGCCGUGCAGGGGCCCGUAGAAGCCGGUGGAGCAGCGAACAGUGCCGCCAACGCUGCCAACAGCCUCAAUGCUCAACAGACAGAUGGGUCCUCCCAGAUUGACGGUCAGUCAGGUGUUGGUUCAGGUGGAGGAGGAGGUGGAGGGACUGUUGGGGAUGAUUCAGACAGCAAGGUGACCCCAAAACGUCUCCACGUGUCCAACAUCCCUUUCCGUUUCCGGGACCCGGAUCUACGGCAGAUGUUUGGGCAAUUUGGAAAAAUCCUUGAUGUGGAGAUCAUUUUCAAUGAGAGGGGAUCCAAGGGCUUUGGUUUUGUAACAUUCGAGUCGAGUGCAGAUGCUGAGCGAGCCCGGGAGAAGCUUCAUGGUACAUUGGUGGAAGGACGUAAAAUCGAGGUGAAUAAUGCCACAGCCAGAGUGAUGACAAACAAGAAGAUGACAACACCUUACUCUAAUGGAGAGGGCCUCGCAACUCUGCCAUACGCUGGUUGGAAGCUGAGCCCCAUGGUUGGAGCCAUGUACAGUCCUGAACUCUACACAGUACCAGGGUUUCCAUACCCGGCUGCAGCAGCAGCUGCUUCGACCGCCGCCACCUUUCGGGGGGCUCAUCUCCGGGGUCGUGCCCGGCCUGUCUACAGCGCAGUCAGGGCAACUGUGCCCCAACCUGCCAUCCCCACCUAUCCAGGUGUGAUGGCCUAUCAGGAUGGCUUUUACGGUGCGGCUGAUCUUUAUACUAGUGUUUCAGGACAUUAGUGGCAGAUUGCCCCAGGUAGGGUUUACACACUCUGUUUGAGAGCCAGUGUGCAUCCUCCUCGUCUCCAAUGACUGCGUGCUGUUAGACAUUAUUGACCAUCUGAGACUGAAAUGCCUUCUCUGUCUUCUUCUACUAACUCACUGGAUUCUGACAUGGGCGGAGUUGCGGAAGGGGGAGAAAAUAAUAGUUAGAUCUGAGAAGAAUAUAUAGUGUAAAACUUGAUAGUUAAAGUAUCUACAAAAGAGAAAGGGUUAGGGGGAACAGUCAAAAUAUUAACGCUCAGUAGCACAUCUAUUCUCUUUAUUCUCAGUGUUUAUACAAAUAAUUUAGUCAUAAAUUGGCUUUUUGUCUUGAUGCACUGAUGUUUAUUUAUGCAGCAAGGUUAACUAAUAUUCAGUAGACAAGAUGUAUUUGAGCAAACAAAUUUCACACCAUAUUAUUUCACAUUUCCAUCUCAUAAAUGUUUUCCAAAAUGCAUUUUUUACAAGAAUCACCCAGAACUGGAACUAUUGAGGCAACACCAGAUGUUACCCUUCUAAGCAAUAUCAUGUUGUCAUUUUUAAUAUUCUUUUUAAUGAAUUCAGCCUCUCGCUUUUAUUGGGCUCAAACUCUAAAAACAUGCCUUUAAUCAAAUCUUCCUUUGAAGCAAGCAGCAUUGACAUUGUAGCAGUACAAAUAGGACAGGAAAUGAAUAAGUUGUAAAUAAAUACACUGAUACCUGAGACUUCUCCAGUAGUCAGGGGGAUGUAGGACAGUCUCAGUCAGCAGUUAAUUCAGACCCCUUCCAGGAAUCUCCCUAUCUGUUUCACCUGUGGCAUGCUAACUGAAUCAAUGUCGGCAUGCAGACAUACUUACAAGGCUGACUCUUCUCUUAGACCUCCCCCUCUUCCUCCCCCCUUCCUCUUCUUCAUCUGUACGCCCCCUUUUCUUUUUGCCAUCCUUCAUUUCAACUCUUUCAUAUUUUUCUCAAAGCCAACUGCUCUCCUGUUUGUAAAUCUCCUCACUGUCUCCUGGCACUUUCUUGUUUCCUUCUGUCCCCUUUGUUGUACUCUUCUUAUUCUCCUCCCCCAUUUUACUCCAUCUCUCUCUUCAUCCUUCUCUUUAGGUCUGUCAACUCUUGGCUCAGUCCCUCUUCUAAUUUUACUCUUACACCCCUCAAGACCCUGAUACAUCACCAGUAUGUCAGGGGAGAAAUACACACAAAACUUUCAGAAUAAGAUUGGAUUCAACUUUCGGUGUUAGGGCAUGAGUUAGGAAUCCAAAAGUUAAAAGUUGAAAAAAAAAAACAAAACAAAACCCUUCCUCCAUGAAAACCUCUGAUGCAGCUGACAUAGUGAAAGCUAAAGAAAAUUGGUUAGCUAUCUUAGCUUGUUAUGUUUCCCAAAGGAAAUGUACCUAUGUUAGUUUUAGCUACAUUUGCCAAAGCUAAGUAGCUACAUUAUUUACAUAGCAAACAAAGAUAGCUUACCCUUUGCUGUGUUUGCCAAAGCAAAUUUUAUAUUACGCCAAAGCUAACAUAGGUGUGUUGGCUUGCAUUAUUACAUAAAAUAUGAAGCAACUGUAGCUUGAGCUACUUAGCUAAAGCUAACGUAGCUAAAUAUAGCCUCUCAUAGUCUGUCUCAUAGUAGUGGUCUGUAAGAGUGAGGUCCGAGAAAUGGGUCUGCAGUCAGACCGCUCUCAUUUCUGUUGAAUGAGAUUUUGGCAUCCUUUGUCAGCAGCAACUUGGAGAAAAUACAGGACUGUCUGGAAUUAUGAGUUAUUUAAAUUAAUAAACAUUUUUAUAAGGCCCUUAAUCCUGGUCAAACACCAUCUAAACUGUAACGCAGCUGCCCACCACUAGUAGCCACUGUAGUUGUUCUUCAUGACUACUGCCUUGCAGCCACAAUCGGAUACAGACAACUGUUAACUGACAGCACAGAGAGCACCUCAUGGGAACAGCACAGUUAAGCACUGUUUUGAUCUAGAAAAUUGAGAUAAAGCUGCUCAGAGGCUGUGUCAGGUUAUACUCACAUAUGACCAAAGUAUUGAGCAGCAAUAUUCAGUGUAGGAAUGUGGAUGUUAAACUGGAUAGAGGAUUAAAGGCCAGUGGUGCUAGCACCUAUAAGAUAAGCCACAUUCUGUUCACCAACUUAUAAGUUAUUUUAUUGCGUCAGUGUGAGGUUGGUUUACAGAAUGUAUUUACUUGAGUUAAGAUAAGUCAGCUAAAAGCAGCUAGAAUUUGCAUUUUAUCAAAUGGGAAAUUUUUCUCCUGGGAACAUCCUUAAACAUAGGACCUUUAUGCAUUGAAACAGUACCGAAUUAGGAUAAUAUAAUGGCCAUAAUUUUCAACUCUCAUUUACAUAGAAUGUUGUAAACUCUUUUUUGUAUUGGAGCAGCCAUCUUGCCUAUGAUUUGAAAAUCAUACUGGAAGAUUUGCAGUAAAGCUCUGUAGGAGUGUGCAGCAGGAAACUCUCCAUUUGAGGCAGUGUAUCCCUAGCACUCUCGCUACUCCUCCAUUUCAACAAAAAUCAGGAUGCUCAAACCAUAGAUGUGAAGAUGCAAAACACAAGGGAAGGGCUUAGUGGUAGGGGCAAGGGCUGUAUCGGGACUGAGCCUUUGUGACCCUUUCCUCUUCCUCUCCUUUCUCCCCCUCCUCUCAUAGCAGCCACUGUGUGGUCCUGAAUGCGGGGACUUGGUUAUGACUGAUCCUUUAGGGUAGAAUGCAGCGGUGUGUGUUUUUGUUUUGUUUUGUUUUGUUAAUAGGGAUGUUUGGCCUAAUAUACGGGACGUCCUGAGUUUGGGAAAGCAUGCUGUGUCUAUUAGUGAUUGGUCGCUGGCCACAUGAGCGUGGUGUGUGUGUGCUCUGUUUAAUCUGACUGGCUGAAUGUCUUCUUACACCUGUAGUUUUUUUGUGUCUGUUCAUCAGCUGUCCAUCCAAACAUAAAUAAUGACACAAUCAUCCUGCCACCCCCUCCCCUUUCUCUAACUGUGCGUUUUUGGGAAGGGAACAGGGGUGGGGCACAAAUAUGGGUAUGGAGUCUCUCUCCCUCCAUGUCUAACACAUGGUGUCAAAGAUAAUGAACUUUUAAGUAAUACAUGUUCAAAGAUAUUUUCUCAAAGUUGGUCAUGGAGGGAGAGACACACAGAGCCUGAGCUACAUCCUUGUGAAUGCUGUACUGCACCAGAUUAGCCAGUUGUGCUGACUGUCUGCUUGUUAAUCUUUCGCUCUCUCUCUCUCUCAGCAGUUUUUCUCACAAUGUAACCCCCUUUUAGACUCACUAGUUGAUUAGAUUGCAGUUAAAAUAUCACACAUGUCUAACAAGAAUUUACACUGGUUUCUGUUUCUUUUCACUUCUCCCUCCAUCACACGCUACCCCCCACCCCCUUCGUCCUCCAUCUUUCAUCACAGGGUGGUUAUGCAGCGUAUCGUUAUGCCCAGCCGGCUGCAGUAGCGACUCCUGCAGCAGCGGCAGCUGCAGCAGCAGCGUACAGUGACAGCUACGGAAGAGUUUACACAGCAGACCCUUACCAUGCUGCACUGGCCCCAGCUGCCUAC
This is an RNA transcript of Cheilinus undulatus (humphead wrasse), 5585 nucleotides long. It is a transcript of the gene named RNA binding fox-1 homolog 2, with no coding region annotated. The record is from RefSeq and is a predicted model, not a curated record. The transcript has 12 exons. NCBI's taxonomy places the organism in Eukaryota, Metazoa, Chordata, Actinopteri, Labriformes, Labridae.